RNAcentral lists this transfer RNA (54 nucleotides) under Strongylus vulgaris. RNAcentral describes it as "tRNA-Cys". The record is from RNAcentral. Lineage: Eukaryota; Metazoa; Nematoda; Chromadorea; Rhabditida; Strongylidae.
AAGUUCUUAGUAUAUUUAGUAUUUUUAAUUGCAAAUUAAAGGGUUAAGAAUUUU